This 759-nucleotide ribosomal RNA is filed under the name uncultured bacterium. RNAcentral describes it as "bacterial SSU rRNA". It matches the Rfam family "Bacterial small subunit ribosomal RNA", at positions 94 to 857 of the family's 1533-position model. The record is from RNAcentral.
AGUGGCGCACGGGUGCGUAACGCGUAUGCAAUUUACCUUUUACAGGGGGACAACACUAGGAAACUGGUGCUAAUACCGCGUAAUAAAUAGAGAGGCAUCUUUUUAUUUUAAAAGAAUUUCGGUAAGAGAUAAGCAUGCGUCCCAUUAGCUAGUUGGUAAGGUAACGGCUUACCAAGGCCACGAUGGGUAGGGGAACUGAGAGGUUUAUCCCCCACACUGGUACUGAGAUACGGACCAGACUCCUACGGGAGGCAGCAGUAAGGAAUAUUGGGCAAUGGGCGAGAGCCUGACCCAGCCAUGCCGCGUGCAGGAUGACGCUCCUCGUUGGGUGUAAACUGCUUUUAUUAGGGAAGAACAAGUUUCUGCGGAGACAACUGACGGUACCUAAUGAAUAAGCACCGGCUAACUACGUGCCAGCAGCCGCGGUAAUACGUAGGGUGCAAGCGUUGUCCGGAUUUAUUGGGUUUAAAGGGUGUGUAGGCGGUCUAGUAAGUUUUGGGUGAAAGCCCACCGCUCAACGGUGGAACUGCCUGAGAUACUGCUAGACUUGAGUAUAGUUAAAGUUACUAGAAUUGGUGGUGUAGCGGUGAAAUGCAUAGAUACCACCAGGAAUACCAAUUGCGAAGGCAGGUAACUAGGCUAUAACUGACGCUGAGGCACGAAAGCAUGGGUAGCGAACAGGAUUAGAUACCCUGGUAGUCCAUGCUGUAAACGAUGAGGACUCGGUGUUGGCAUUUAUGUCAGUGCCCUAAGGAAACC